CCGGUAGGCCUGGGGGUCUCUGCCUGUGCUGAGCUGAGCCAGAGUCUGGCAGUCCCGGGACAACGCCUGCAAUCCCUGAGACACCGCGAGUGUACAGGUCCCCAGUUUGGGCUCACCCUAGGCAGGAGCUUUCCGACAAGGCCUCACUACCCACGGCGUGGUCUGGAGGAAGUUCUCGAGGGCCAGGAGGUCCACUUCCGGUCAUGUCCAGUGAAUUCUUCCUCUGCUGUGCUGAGUGUGCUGGCCUGAAAUCAAGGGUGUUGUUUCAUUCCCAACCUCCGGGCUGAUUCUGGGCACAGGAAACAGCGGCCUGAGAUCAGUUUUCAUCUUGGAAGCUACAGCAUUUCUGAGUUGGCAGGAGAUUCUGUUUCCAGUGAAUACCCCAGCAAAUUUGGCAAUGAGAGUAAGACUUCUGGAAGUUCCUGAAUCACGUAAGAGGUUCUGUGGACACACAAUAGUCAGGUGGGGCAGCCUUUUUACUGACCAGACAUAUAGUGGCUGCGAGCAGUGGGAGAGCUGGGCUACGAGCUGAGGUAAUAGCCUCCCCUCACCCCAGGC
Molecule: long non-coding RNA, 558 nt
Organism: Mustela erminea (ermine)
Lineage: Eukaryota; Metazoa; Chordata; Mammalia; Carnivora; Mustelidae
Exons: 6
Source: RefSeq, a predicted model, not a curated record